This 371-nucleotide RNase P RNA is filed under the name Bacillota bacterium. RNAcentral describes it as "RNase P RNA component class A". It matches the Rfam family "Bacterial RNase P class A". From Rfam's summary of the family: Ribonuclease P (RNase P) is a ubiquitous endoribonuclease, found in archaea, bacteria and eukarya as well as chloroplasts and mitochondria. Its best characterised activity is the generation of mature 5'-ends of tRNAs by cleaving the 5'-leader elements of precursor-tRNAs. Lineage: Bacteria; Bacillati; Bacillota. RNAcentral also lists the same sequence under 2 other names. The record is from RNAcentral.
AAAGCAGGUUGGGUGGUCGCUCUGCUGGAUAGGCCAGUGGGGAGGAAAGUCCGAGCUCCGCAGGGCAGGGUGGUCGGUAACACCGACGGGCAGUGAUGCCACGGAAAGUGCCACAGAAAAUAUACCGCCCCGUGAGAUAUGGAUAGUCGUUCUCUCACGAGGUAAGGGUGAAAAGGCGAGGUAAGAGCUCACCGUUCCGAUGGUGACAUCGGAAGCAUGGUAAACCCCACCCGGAGCAAGGCCAAAUAGGAGAGGAGAGGUGGCCCGCCUCGUUUUCCACUCUCGGGUAGGCCGCUUGAUCCCUGUGGCAACAUAGGGACCAGAUGAAUGUCCACCCUCGACAGAACUCGGCUUAUAGGCCUGCUUUGGCU